This is a long non-coding RNA of Mesocricetus auratus (golden hamster), 1411 nucleotides long. RefSeq lists it as uncharacterized. NCBI's taxonomy places the organism in Eukaryota, Metazoa, Chordata, Mammalia, Rodentia, Cricetidae. The record is from RefSeq and is a predicted model, not a curated record. The transcript has 2 exons.
AAAGCAAUUAGCAUUUUGCACACUCCAGCAUACUGAACUGUGGGAUUUCACUUGUCCCUUCAGCAAAGUAGCAGGUGGAAGCGGAACGGAUCUGAACGCAAAGGACAGUUACGUAAUUGACCUAGAGUCCCAGACCACCUGAUGCCGCUAGUCUGCAGCUUCCCUUUCAACCUCUCCCAGGCAAGCUCGUGCAGCCUAGCAACUAAUCACACGCGUGACAUUUUGGCGCCUGAGUGUACUUUCUUCACAGGCUGGAAGCUGUAGCAUGGCUCCAAAGAAAAUCCCUUUUGCUUGUCUGAGAUGAGGAAGUGAGAUAGAUUAGAACCGAAAGUCAUUCUUUUAUUUUAUAUAUCUGAUCUAAACUUUUUGGGGGAGUCCGGCUCCUCGAGGGUACAGGGCCAAGCAGGAGCUCACCAGCUAUACUCUCGGAAAUUUUUCCAGUUUAAUGGAGCCUCCUUCAAGCUGAGUCCCUGGGAGGCACCGAGGAUGCAGCAUCUUUGUGCCUUCACGGCUGAACCUGGAAAUCACACCCUGACAUCGGUCUCCUUUUCGGCUGGGUACCUCUCCGUUGACACUGUCAGUUUGGAAUCUCCAUUCUUUUCAACUGCAACUUCCGGUGGCUGGGGUCCGCCCCGGUGACAGCUGCCCUGUACUUCCAUUGCAAAAGCACUUAGCUUCUCUUCGACGGCCCCAAUCUCUCCACCACCCAAGGCUGCUUGCUGGCACCCAUUCCUGCAACUUCAGGUCCCAGGCACGUCCGCCCCCCUUUCCUUAACAAACUGCCCGCAUCUCAUAUCUUUCCGCUUUGAGUUCUCGUUGCAAAUCUCAGCAAAUGCAAUGAGCAAUAAACAAGCUACGGCCCGAAUACCAGGCUGCCUUGAAAUUCUCUCCACCCAACAAAAUUAAUUCGUAAUUUUUGAAUUCAGUCUAAUUCGAAUUUUCAGGACACUAGCAGAAUGCAGCCAUAUUUUCUACCAUAAUAUAACAUAAAUGGCCUUAAAGUCCUUCUCCCCUCCCACCCACCUCCUCCUGGGACCUAGUAAGUAUAGUCUUCCCUGUCCACAUUUCUUUUGGCAUUCUGGUCUUCCCAGUAGAAUGGACCGUUGACCUUUGACUACAGCAUUCUAGAGCUCCAAAUGCUUCCACAUUCUCCUGAAAACCAUGUCAGUAGGCCUAGACCCUGUGGGAAGAACUAGAUAGAACCUAGAUAGAUAGGCCUAUUAAAAAAAAUCGUGCACCAUCUAUAGUGACAGAUGUCCCUCAAAUAGGCCACACCUCCUAAAUCUACUAUAAUCUCCCAAAAUGGCACCACCAUCUGGGGACCAAGUGUUCAAACACACGAGCUUAUGGAAGGCACCUUCAUGUAACUUAAGACUUGAAUGAACAAUGCAGAUAAAGAACCUUGAAUUGC